This 292-nucleotide ribosomal RNA is filed under the name Clavispora lusitaniae. RNAcentral describes it as "partial 26S ribosomal RNA". It matches the Rfam family "Eukaryotic large subunit ribosomal RNA", at positions 115 to 418 of the family's 3401-position model. Lineage: Eukaryota; Fungi; Ascomycota; Pichiomycetes; Serinales; Metschnikowiaceae. The record is from RNAcentral.
UUGAAAUCCUGCGGGAAUUGUAAUUUGAAGGUUUCGUGGUCUGAGUCGGCCGCGCCCAAGUCCAUUGGAACAUGGCGCCUGGGAGGGUGAGAGCCCCGUAUGGCGCACGCCGACUCUUUGCACCGCGGCUCCGACGAGUCGAGUUGUUUGGGAAUGCAGCUCUAAGUGGGUGGUAAAUUCCAUCUAAAGCUAAAUAUUGGCGAGAGACCGAUAGCGAACAAGUACAGUGAUGGAAAGAUGAAAAGCACUUUGAAAAGAGAGUGAAACAGCACGUGAAAUUGUUGAAAGGGAA